Oncorhynchus tshawytscha (Chinook salmon) is the source of this 3019-nucleotide long non-coding RNA. NCBI's taxonomy places the organism in Eukaryota, Metazoa, Chordata, Actinopteri, Salmoniformes, Salmonidae. The record is from Ensembl.
CAAAAUUUGAGAGAAAUAAACUUUUUGUGAAUAUGGAACAUUUCUGUUUUAUUUCAGCUCAUGAAACAUGGGACCAACACUUUACAUGGUGUAUUUAUAUUUUUGUUCAAUAUCAAACAAACAUGCCUCUCUGACAUGUAAAAUACUGAAAUCACAGCAGCUCUAUUCAUAGAAUUUUUAUCUAGAAUGUUCCAAAACCUUUUCCUACUGAACAUGGCCCUGGUUUUAAAAAUGGCAGUUAUUGGCAACACCAUGGCAACAACACAACCACAACCAACUCUGAUUGGCCAGUCAAAAGACACAACCAACUCUGAUUGGCCAGUCAAAAGACACAACCAACUCUGAUUGGCCAGUCAAAAGACACAACAAACUCUGAUUGGCCAGUCAAAAGACACAACAAACUCUGAUUGGCCAGUUAAGCCAGACAGAGGUACUGUAUGUAGUAAAAAAACAACUUUAAAAAGCAGGAAUAAUAAACAAUAAUAAAACAAUGCAAUACUGUGAGAUCAUGGCACAGAUAUAGACAGACUGACCGGCAGAUAUAUGACCAUAGAAAUAGACACAGGCAGGGUAUAGAUAAUACUGGUGUGGUACUUUAAAAAUACCGCAGCGUUGUUGGAGCAACACUACGUAGUUGUGUGUUCGUAUCCAUGGUUACCAUAGGUAGAGCCCAGCCUCGUUCCAGACACAGCGGAGAUAACGUCAGAGCAGGUCCACUGACUACAUCUCCCAGAGGGCUUUUUCCAAAAUAAAAGUCCCCGUGAUAUCUGCACCGGUUGUUCACGAGUAUUGAGUGAACCUCGUGUCAUGUAAGCUACAACAGUACUGUGUGUCUCUGCGUGAUGGUGGACAAGGUUCAGUUUCAAACUGUCACUUCUAGAGAUAUGGGUUUAACAGAUCCCAAGGUCCUGUUUCAAACUGUCACUUCUAGAGAUAUGGGUUUAACAGAUCCCAAGGUCCUGUUUCAAACUGUCACUUCUAGAGAUAUGGGUUUAACAGAUCCCAAGGUCCUGUUUCAAACUGUCACUUCUAGAGAUAUGGGUUUAACAGAUCCCAAGGUUCCGUUGUUUCCAUAUUGGUCAGUGCGUGACCUGAACUCUUAUUGUGAAACACUUUGUUCCAGAUGCAUUUCCUGGGCUCCAUGUAACAGUUCCAUGACACAGAAUAGCCCACCAGGUAACCAACCAGCCAAGUCCAUAUCUCAGAAAGGUAUAGCCACACCUUUUACUCCAUACUGUAGUUACAGCUCCAUAAUCCAUACAGGGCAGAGGACCAUAAACCAUAGCCAGUCUAUUCCCCAUGUAGGUACGAGGUGAGCCAUGUAAUCCCAUCCCAGGUAGGUCCAUCCCAGAUCAGUUUAUCCAGGUAGGUCCAUCCCAGGUAGCCAUAGACAGGUAGGUCCAUCUCGGGUAGCCAUAGACAGGUAUGUCCAUCUCGGGUAGGUCCAUCCCAGGUAGGUCCAUCCCAGGUAGGUCCAUCCCAGGUAGCCAUAGACAGGUAGGUCCAUCCCAGAUCAGUUUAUCCAGGUAGGUCCAUCCCAGGUAGCCAUAGACAGGUAUGUCCAUCUCGGGUAGGUCCAUCCCAGGUAGGUCCAUCCCAGGUAGCCAUAGACAGGUAUGUCCAUCUCGGGUAGCCACAGACAGGUAGGUCCAUCCCAGGUAGCCAUAGACAGGUAUGUCCAUCUCGGGUAGCCAUAGACAGGUAUGUCCAUCUCGGGUAGGUCCAUCCCAGGUAUGUCCAUCCCAGGUAGCCAUAGACAGGUAUGUCCAUCCCAGGUAGCCAUAGAUAGGUAGGUCCAUCCCAGGUAGCCACAGACAGGUAGGUCCAUCCCAGGUAGCCAUAGACAGGUAUGUCCAUCUCGGGUAGGUCCAUCCCAGGUAUGUCCAUCCCAGGUAGCCAUAGACAGGUAUGUCCAUCCCAGGUAGCCAUAGACAGGUAUGUCCAUCCCAGGUAGCCAUAGACAGGUAUGUCCAUACAUGCAGCCAUAGACAGGUAGGUCCAUCCCAGGUAGCCAUAGACAGGUAUGUCCAUACAUGCAGCCAUAGUCCAAGUAAAUCUUAGCCUGCAGGUAUGUCUCCGUCCUCUGUCCCAGGUUAGAUUUGUCCCAGGGCCAGGCUAAACCAGACUUAACCCCGGUACAGUCAUGGUUCUGGCACCAGUGUGGCCCCAGUUAGGCCCUGUGGUCUCAGGACUGGUUGUCCCCAGUAGGGGUUGGUGGUUCGAGUGACAGUUCUUCGUCAGACAGCCCCGUUUCCACAGCGAUCACCAGGGAUGCCACAGACGCACUGCUGGUCAUGGGCUGGAACUCACCUAGAGAGAGAGAGACAGGGGGAGGAGGAGACAAAAGAAGGAUGAGAGAGACCGAGAGAGGGAGAGAGAAAGAGGGAUGAGAGAGAGAAAGAAGAGGGGGGAGGGAGAGAAAGAAAGAGGGAGAGGUGAGGAUGCAAUUCAUUAAAGCUGCCACCAGGUGGCACUAUGAGUGCUGUUUGUGUGUGUGCGUAUGUGUGCGUGUGUGUGCGUGGUGUGACUGUGGGCUGCGUGGUGUGACUGUGCGUGUCGCUAGCCUCGCCCGCCGCCCGGCGCUAGCCUCGCCCGCCGCCCGGCGCUAGCCUCGCCCGCCGCCCGGCGCUAGCCUCGCCCGCCGCUAGUCUCGCCCGCCGCUAGUCUCGCCCGCCGCCUGUCGCUAGUCUCGCCCGCCGCCUGUCGCUAGUCUCGCCCGCCGCCUGUCGCUAGUCUCGCCCGCCGCCUGUCGCUAGUCUCGCCCGCCGCCUGUCGCUAGUCUCGCCCGCCGCCUGUCGCUAGUCUCGCCCGCCGCCUGUCGCUAGUCUCGCCCGCCGCCUGUCGCUAGUCUCGCCCGCCGCCUGUCGCUAGUCUCGCCCGCCGCCUGUCGCUAGUCUGUCGGUAGCUGCGUGUCGGUAGCUGCGUGUCGGUAGCUGCGUGUCGGUAGCUGCGUGUCGGUAGCUGCGUGUCGGUAGCUCGCCUGCGUGUCACUAGUUGCGUGUCACUAGUUGCGUGUCGG